GGGGCUGUUACGGAUUCGACAGGCAUAGGUCGAGCCUGAAUUGCGCUUCGUAGGUUACGGCUACGUUAAAACGUUACAGUUAAAUAUAACUGCUAAAAACAACAAUAACUCUUACGCUUUAGCUGCCUAAAAACAGUUAGCGUAGAUCCUCCCGGUAUCGCCCAUGUGCUCGGGUAAGGGUCCUAUUCUAAGUGGGAUACGCUAAAACUUUCCGUCUGUAAGUUUUAGAAGAGCUCAUCAGACUAGCAACGUAAAUCGCCUGUCGUUCGGCAGUUUAUCAAGCGAAACUUCAAUAGAACCGACUAUGAGCGUAGACUUUUAGGUAGCGAUGUGUUUGGACGCGGGUUCGACUCCCGCCAGCUCCAUUU
Molecule: transfer-messenger RNA, 368 nt
Filed under: Enterococcaceae
Lineage: Bacteria; Bacillati; Bacillota; Bacilli; Lactobacillales
Also listed under: 2 other names
Description: Enterococcus_C songbeiensis Standard tmRNA
Rfam family: transfer-messenger RNA
About the family: Bacterial tmRNA, also known as 10Sa RNA or SsrA, is named for its dual tRNA and mRNA-like properties. Its role is to liberate the mRNA from a stalled ribosome.
Source: RNAcentral